This is a long non-coding RNA of Salvelinus namaycush (lake trout), 138 nucleotides long. RefSeq lists it as uncharacterized. The transcript has 3 exons. The record is from RefSeq and is a predicted model, not a curated record. Lineage: Eukaryota; Metazoa; Chordata; Actinopteri; Salmoniformes; Salmonidae.
UUUCUGUGCGCUUGUUCUACAUUCCAACUGCGAGUGAAAGUUACGCAAGACCCAACAUGGACGAGGCAGAGAAGUACCAGCAGAGAGUGCAGGCUAUAGAGGACAAGCGACGUAAGCAGCAGGACGACGAGAAAGCAA